UGGGGAGAUAGCGGAGCCCUGUCAAAUUUAUUCAUUUCGGCUUUAGUCAGAAAGACGAAUUAACCUUUAUGUCUCGUAUUCUUUCGUUAAUCCGAACUUUUCUUUUGAAAAAUGCUAGAAAAGAGAGCAACCAUAAUAAAUCUUUUAAUGCUGAUGACCCCCCACAGCGGGAAAACUGUUCAAAAGGAGUAAAUUUAAAGAACCUUUCUAGGGUCACUGUACUAGUGGCUGUUAAAAAAGAUAACUGCUUAAGAAAAUUAAUAAAACAUUUCGAAAGGACUGAGCGAAAAAUUUUUGUCAAGGCGAUUCUACUUAAAUUAGAUUUGAACUCUAUAUUUCUGGAUGUUUUUGAUGUUUUGUUUUUGGACAUAAACUGGUUGUUUGCCUUUGACAAGCAGCUGUUAAGGGACUUUGCUAAAACUUUAAAAGGUAUUAAAAGAAGACCAUUUCUUGUCGGCGUGGUUGAAAGCGUGUCUAGCACGACCAAGUCUUUAUGUGAAUACAUUUCAUGCGAUUUUAUUUUAAUAAGACCUAUAACGUAUGAAGACAUUUUUACUAUAUUUUCUAUAAAAACUUUUCGUAAGCAAAUAAAC
This is a long non-coding RNA of Zophobas morio, 593 nucleotides long. RefSeq lists it as uncharacterized. The transcript is spliced from 7 exons. The record is from RefSeq and is a predicted model, not a curated record. NCBI's taxonomy places the organism in Eukaryota, Metazoa, Arthropoda, Insecta, Coleoptera, Tenebrionidae.